GAGAUGUUGGGUUAAGUCCGGCAACGAGCGCAACCCACAUCCUUAGUUGCCAGCAGUUCGGCUGGGCACUCUAGGGAAACUGCCGGUGAUAAGCCGGGAGGAAGGUGUGGAUGACGUCAAGUCCUCAUGGCCCUUACGGGUUGGGCUACACACGUUGCUACAAUGGCGG
RNAcentral lists this ribosomal RNA (169 nucleotides) under uncultured bacterium. RNAcentral describes it as "partial 16S ribosomal RNA". It matches the Rfam family "Bacterial small subunit ribosomal RNA", at positions 1069 to 1236 of the family's 1533-position model. The record is from RNAcentral.